UCUUUCGAAGGAUUUGGUAGGAAUAACAUCUCCAAUGACCGGUGAUUCUAUCUAGAAUAUAAUUUAUGUUAAAAUUUGGUUUUAUGUGAAUGCUGAAUAAGUUGUUUUUUUUUUUGGGUUUAGGUGAAGUAUAGGAGCGGAGUUUCGUUGCUUUUUACAGCAUCACCGGUCAUUGGAGAAGAAGAUAGAGUCCAAGUUGUCAUUAAUUUUUUCUUUUAAAUGGAAAAGUAAUAAGUUGGGAAUUUUGGGUCAAUUUUGUUGGAUAUGGGCAUGGAAUUUUUGUUGAGUUUCUGGUACUAGGAAGUACAUCCUCGUCGAGACAAGUACUAAGGUUGGGAAAACCUGGAAAAUACCGUACUUGGGUCUCCAAUCAUCACCCUCGAAGGAGGUUGGAUGAGAAACACACCUUCACUUGUGUAGAAGCGACAGGUUUUUAUAAUUAAAAUUUGCAUGUCAAUUUGUUUAAUAAUACCUUUAAAUUUUA
Diabrotica virgifera virgifera (western corn rootworm) is the source of this 484-nucleotide long non-coding RNA. RefSeq lists it as uncharacterized. NCBI's taxonomy places the organism in Eukaryota, Metazoa, Arthropoda, Insecta, Coleoptera, Chrysomelidae. The record is from RefSeq and is a predicted model, not a curated record. The transcript has 2 exons.